GAUGAACGCUGGCGGCGUGCCUAAUACAUGCAAGUCGAACGAACAGACGAGGAGCUUGCUCCUCUGACGUUAGGGGCGGGCGGGUGAGUAACACGAGGAUAACCUACCUAUCAGACUGGGAUAACUUCGGGAAACCGGAGCUAAUACCGGAGAAUAUAUUGAACCGUAUGGUGCAAUAGUGAAAGACGGUUUUGGCGUAACUUCUAGAUGGAUCCGCGCCGCAUUAGCUAGUUGGUGAGGUAACGGGUUACCAAGGGGACGAUGCGUAGCCGACCUGAGAGGGGGAUCGGCCACCCUGGAACUUGGACAGGGUCCAUACUCCUACGGGAGGCAGCAGUCGGCAACCUGCCGCAAUGGUCGAAAGCCUUGCGGAGCAACGCCGCGUGAGUGACGAAGGUGCUCGGAUCGUAAAACUCUGUUAUUAGUGAAGAACCAAUGUGUAAGUAAACAUGCACUUCUUGACGGUACCUGAUCAGAAAGCAACGGCUAACUACGUG
RNAcentral lists this ribosomal RNA (497 nucleotides) under uncultured bacterium. RNAcentral describes it as "partial 16S ribosomal RNA". It matches the Rfam family "Bacterial small subunit ribosomal RNA", at positions 28 to 507 of the family's 1533-position model. The record is from RNAcentral.